Molecule: ribosomal RNA, 432 nt
Filed under: uncultured bacterium
Lineage: Bacteria
Description: partial 16S ribosomal RNA
Rfam family: Bacterial small subunit ribosomal RNA
Source: RNAcentral
CCUACGGGAGGCUGCAGUAGGGAAUAUUGCACAAUGGAGGAAACUCUGAUGCAGCGACGCCGCGUGAGUGAUGAAGGCCUUCGGGUUGUAAAACUCUGUGAUAAGGGAAGCGGUACCUUAUCAGAAAGGACCGGCUAACUUCGUGCCAGCAGCCGCGGUAAUACGAGGGGUCCAAGCGUUGUUGGGAAUCACUGGGCGUAAAGCGGGUGUAGGUGGCUUUGCAAGUCACAUGUGAAAGCCCUGGGCUCAACCCAGGAAGUGCAUGUGAUACUACAAAGCUUGAGUACUGGAGAGGAUGGUAGAAUUCCUGGUGUAGUGGUGAAAUACGUAGAUAUCAGGAGGAACACCGGUGGCGAAGGCGGCCAUCUGGCCAAGACUGACACUCAGACCCGAAAGCGUGGGUAGCAAACAGGAUUAGAUACCCCUGUAGUC